UAUAUUUAGUAAAAAGAUAUAGUAUGUAUGCACGUGCAGCAAAAGAUAACUAUAAUAUUACUUGCAAUAUAAUUUUUAUAAUAUGCGUUCGUCGCAUACAUUUAUCCUUGGUAUUAUCUAUGACUGUAAAAGUAUAAAAGGAAAUCAUUGCGUAGAAUGCCACAUAUAUAAACAAGUUGUACUGUGAAGAGCGUGAUAAUUCUCUCUUCUCUCUAAAGUUAAUUAAAAGUUUUUCUUUCUUUAACUUUAAAUUUCGUUGCUGUUUCCAUCACUAGAACGUAUUUUUGGAAAAAUGGAAAAUAUUCGUUGGAACAAAUUUGGCAUUUUACAUCUGCUCAUGACGUUCUUAUUAAUAUCUACUUUUAUCACAAUAGCGAUUGCUGAGUCAAGCUUGAUGGAUCCGCUACCUUGUCCUAGCGGUAGGAUAAAGGAUACGGCUACUGGUGUCUGUCGCCUAAUCAUCGAUUAAGGACAGUUAUGCGGACAUCUGAAAGUUCUGUUGCACUUUAUAUGUUCAUCUAAACAACAAUUAUAAGUAUAUUCUUGUAAUCAAGUCUGUCAAGAAACAAUGAGAAAUAAACUAUUAUAAAUAUACAUAUAUGUA
Long non-coding RNA from Vollenhovia emeryi, 604 nucleotides. RefSeq lists it as uncharacterized. Lineage: Eukaryota; Metazoa; Arthropoda; Insecta; Hymenoptera; Formicidae. The transcript has 2 exons. The record is from RefSeq and is a predicted model, not a curated record.